ACAGCUACACAGCGAUGUGAUGCUAAUCUCCAAACCAUGUCUCAGUUCGGAUCGGAGUCUGCAACUCGACUCCGUGAAGCUGGAUUCGCUAGUAAUCGCGCAUCAGCCAUGGCGCGGUGAAUACGUUCCCGGGCCUUGUACACACCGCCCGUCAAGCCAUGGGAGCCGGGGGUACCUGAAGUCCUUAACCGCGAGGAUCGGCCUAGGGUAAAACUGGUGACUGGGGCUAAGUCGUAACAAGGUAGC
This 246-nucleotide ribosomal RNA is filed under the name uncultured bacterium. RNAcentral's name for it is "partial 16S ribosomal RNA". It matches the Rfam family "Bacterial small subunit ribosomal RNA", at positions 1246 to 1500 of the family's 1533-position model. The record is from RNAcentral.